GCGGAUAUGGUGGAAUUGGCAGACACGCAGGUUUUAGGUGCCUGUGCGCGAGCGUAUGGGUUCGAGUCCCAUUAUCCGCACCA
Molecule: transfer RNA, 83 nt
Filed under: Bacillota bacterium
Lineage: Bacteria; Bacillati; Bacillota
Also listed under: 1 other name
Description: tRNA-Leu
Rfam family: tRNA
About the family: Transfer RNA (tRNA) molecules are approximately 80 nucleotides in length. Their secondary structure includes four short double-helical elements and three loops (D, anti-codon, and T loops).
Source: RNAcentral